GCCUGGGAUAGCUCAGUCGGUAGAGCAUGAGACUCUUUGUAUCAGGGUCAUAGGUUCAAACCCCACAUUGGGCA
This 74-nucleotide transfer RNA is filed under the name Podarcis lilfordi (Lilford's wall lizard). Its description in RNAcentral is "tRNA.Lys". The record is from RNAcentral. Lineage: Eukaryota; Metazoa; Chordata; Lepidosauria; Squamata; Lacertidae.